CCACCGCUGCUCCCCAUCUUCUUCUCCAUCCUCCAUCCCCCAAUUCAAUCCUAUCCAUCUCCCUCCCCCUCGUCCGCCGCCACCACCGGCAACCUCGGUGCCCCUCUCCCUAACCACCACCGCCCCCACCCUCUCCCCCAUCCCCCGCUCUUACCUUCUCUCCUUAAACUAGGCGGCCUCAAGAACGAGCAGGCCGAGGCGCUUCCCGAUUUGCGGCGCUGCUUCUGGAUCUACCGAGCAGCGCCAGAGGUCGGCUCCCUCUCCGCUGUUCUGCGCCAAGGUUGGCCUCCCCUUCCUUUUCCGCGUGGUCCAUGGCGCUAACCCAGACGGUGAGGCACUCAAUACCAUGGCUGGAUGGAGGUUGGGUGAUUUCAUUCCCUGACCUCGCCGCCUAGCCACUCCACCACGAGCUUCUCGCCCCCAGCGGCGUACAAGACGUCCUCCUCCUCGAUGCAGCCGUUCCCAACGAGCUCUCUUUGCCGAAAGAGGUGCAGAAGCAAGUACAGCACCCCCUUGGCCCCUACAUCCUGUCCUACAUCGCCUGCACGAGCUCACUGAUGGCUGCCUCCUCCUUACCUCCUAGCGUGGCGAGCCUCUCCCCACUUUACCCCAAAUAUAGAUGAUACUUGCAAUCUGAAUACAUAUCAUAUUUUGGAUCAGUUUAGAGGCGGAUUCAGUUGCUGAGAUGAAUAUGUGAGCUUGAUUAGUUGCUGACGGUUUUGUGGAUCUGAUUCUCUUGCACUAUUACACAUAAUUUAAUUAGGGCAAGCUAAUGCUGAUCCACACGAUAUGAUAUAGCUAUUUUUUUCUAACAUGCACCGUUCUUCAUGUUGAUUGAUAUUUUGGGAGUUAAUUUGGAAGUUCCAGCUUGUUAGAUAUAAAUUAAGCUGCGACUGUGUAUCUUGCUAGAAUGGACUUGUUUUAUAGAUGCGUGUAUGUAGUAGUACUUGAGAGAAAACCUAAAAACUGUACUUUUAUCAUAAGCAUCUUAGAACUGUAAGUGUUUUUUCUUGUUUAUAUUGCUAUAUGCUUUUAUUGUUACUUGGAUUUUUAUUUCCUGUCAAGUAACUAUAUUUUUGCUUGAACAGAUGUGGCCUUUAAUUAUGCUCCUGUUGUUUUCUUGUUAAUACAAAAGCAACAAGUUCCCUAUUCUAAAAUAGUGUUUAGGAUUCAGAUUGUGUUGGACAUCAAUAAUUCUGUACAUGGUAGCUGAACUCCCUUCUGUUCAAUAUCCUAUCCCACACUACAUAUAUGAUACAUCAAUUAUCACUUAUUUUCAUACCAAUGGUAACCCCUUUUCAUGGUUGAAAUGGACAUUUUCACCAUGGCAGUCUGCUUUCUCUAUCAUAGAUUGGAACUGUGGAUGCAUUACGGUAUGAUUGAUUGUUGUACGAGAAGCUAUUAUCCUUUUUGUUGUUGUUGGAAGGUAGGACUACCUGUGAUAUUAUUAUUCUCCUAUAGCAUAAUAAUCUUAUUAAGAUGAAAAAAGUUUUGUUCCCUUUUCGUUUUGAUGUUUGCCUUGGUUACUAGAAUAAAAGUAUUGCUUAUGUUAUUUAUUUUCAGCAAUGGGUACGGAAGUGCCUCCCCUUGACUUACUUUUCUUAGUUUCACAUACUUCAUAUUUCACGGCACAUGAGAGACUGCAUCGUAGGAAAUUCAGAAGGUUUUCAUAGCAUGAUUCGAGUUUAGUGUAUUGAUAGCUUAGGACUUGCAGUCAAAUAAGCACAGUGUUGUUUACUACCAACUAUUGAUCUAUGUAUGCUCAUAAUGCCUUUUUGUUGCCAUCAGUUGUUUCUUUUCACACGAAUGAUUUUGUUUCACUACUUUGCAUCAUGGCAGAGAAAAAAUAUAGAACUUAAUAACGUGUAGUAAGCUACUUCCAGUUUCUACUUCUAUUUUAACCUACUGACUAUAAUAUUUUAUAAUGUGACAUAUUUUUCAUCAUGUGGCAGAUAUUGGUUUAUGGGAGCAUUUCAACAACAAAGACAUGAUGAGCGAAUCCACGGCCAGGAAUGCGGGGUCCCUUGGUUGUCCAAUGAUCAUUGUCCUUUGCUUGAUGGGUGUGGUGCUGGCUGUAGAGUAGCACAGUUUUCUCCGAGACAUGCUUGUAGAAUUAAAAUCUUUUUUGGGUUCAUUUUUUGCUCCCGUACAGGUGUAUUUUUGGGUGUGUGUAUGUAAUUUUUUGUUUUUAAGGACCUGAACAUAUAUUUUCUGUUAAAUUAUUAUUGGCUUCAAAUUUCCA
This is a long non-coding RNA of Triticum dicoccoides, 2242 nucleotides long. RefSeq lists it as uncharacterized. The record is from RefSeq and is a predicted model, not a curated record. NCBI's taxonomy places the organism in Eukaryota, Viridiplantae, Streptophyta, Magnoliopsida, Poales, Poaceae. The transcript is spliced from 3 exons.